Molecule: long non-coding RNA, 2654 nt
Filed under: Homo sapiens (human)
Lineage: Eukaryota; Metazoa; Chordata; Mammalia; Primates; Hominidae
Description: HSALNT0358722
Source: RNAcentral
AAUGCACAAUGCACAUAUGGCACAAACAAAUACGUCUAUAUUUACACAAUAUAGACACAGCAUGAUACACAAUGUCGAUGUACACCUGUGCUUCAGGAUUCACACACAUCACAAGCAAAUGCACAGACCCAUGCCCACCAUCCAUUUGCACACCUGCAACUCAUACAUGAUGAUGCCUUUUCCAGGAUAAAAAUACCCAUUUACUUGUGUUGACCCUAUUAGUCCUGCAGCAGAAUGUACCAGAAUAAACAUUCCACUAUAACAUCGAAGCUCUUUAGAUCUGUAGAGUAAGGAGGAGACUGUAGAGGGCUCCCCUCCCCAUCCUCACUUGCUCACUUGCAGAUGGGGAACCUGAGGCUCAGAGAACUUAGGGCCAUGCCACUGCUAGCCUGUGACUUUGGUCAAGGCAGUGUUCUCGUUGUGCUCCUGGAUGAUCCCUUUACUGCCUGCAACUUUCCUCCUCCCUUCUCUGCUCUGGUCACAGGAUCUAGCAAGUCCCAUGGUUCCCCGGCCCCUCACUUGACCCUCAGCUCCUCAUGUGGGGCAAGAAAGAGGUUAAGCCCUAACUUGAGAAGCAGGAGCAUCCUGUGCUGGGGCUGGCACAGAUGAGUGGUCGCCACAGCAGCUGCGUCCUCUGAAAAGACAGCAAAGCCUGGCUGUUCACACCAGGAAGGGGGUUGUCCAGGGGCUGGUUUUUCCAUGGACAUCUCAAGCCCAGGGCUUAUGGAUUACAGUCUUUUGAAGAAUAUUUGAUAGCCGAGAAUGAAAUGAUCAACUCCACAAAAUGACUGCAAAAUCAAAAUUAAUGUUUAAUUGAAUAUGUGCAUAACAUCACAUCAUGUCAACUUGUUAAAUUCAACUCACUCCAGCUCCUAUGAAGUUAGGUGUAAAUGAUACUUGCGUGAGAUGUGGAUGCAUUCUGAUGUGUUUAUAUGAUGUGGUAUGACAUUCUAGAGUGAGAGGGUUAGAGGCUAUGACUAUUUAAAAACAGUCUAUCGGCAGCAUGGGGGUUGGGAUGCAGCCAAUAAUAGCUGAGCAGCUACUUUCUGACUGUCCCACCAGUGCCCAUUGGAGGCGUUUCCAGCACCGAUGGAUAGAUAAGCUAACUUAUAGGGAGCACUUGAGUGAAUAUUCUAGAGUCCUCCCAGACGAUCUGGGAGCUCAGGAGGGGGAAUUGCACUGAAGAUUUGUCCCAUCGUGAAGCAAGAGCACUGGAACUUACACUCCACCAUCAGGCCCUGUCACAGGAGAACAAAGAAGGAAGGCAGAGGAGAUCAUGCUCCGGCCAGCAGGGAAUCUCCAUUUUUUUCAGCCUCAUACCUUGGAAAGUACAAAGGAGUGAGAGCUGGGACUACCAGCCAGAGGGUUCAUGGAGGUAGUGGGAGGGGAAGAUGGGUUCUGCAUGGAGCCACUCCAGGGACUUUUCUUCUGUCUCACAGCCUGACAAUCACCUCUAGCUGUUCUCAGUCCCAUUCUCAUCAAUGACCUCGUCUCCUGAUUUUGUACAAUAUCUAGGUGACCUUCUCUUCUUUCCAUCUUCAAACGCUUGAUCAUUGAUGCUCCCUUUUCUCUUCUCUCUCCUCCUGGGAAAAGAGAAGGACCAACAUCCCCCUUUCCCUUCCUCCUGUGCUGUCCCGACCCCUCUGAGACCUGGCUCUAGCAGUAAGUCCCUCUCUCUUCUGCAGCACCAGCCUCUGCCCAUCCCUGCCCUCUGCACACAAAGCUCUCACAUUGUCUGCACUUUAAGAACUUUUGUGGCAAACCCUGGCAAAUCCUGCCACUUGUUUCCACUCUUCUCAAAUGGCUUUGAGGUCAUCAUUGACCUAUCCCAUUUGACCCUGUCCUGUAUCUGAUGUUGUACCCUUUCUCCUUGAUCCCACUCUGGCAACUCUCCCACUCCCCUUUCUUGGAUCAACUGUCUUGCUCCUCAGUCUUGAUCAAUGCCUCCUUCUCUCUCUUUAGCCUUGGCCCUUUUUGGCCAGGGAAAUAAAUGUGAAAUACAUAAAGCUUCAUUUUAUCUUAUGAUUAUAGCUAUGUUGAUGUUACCCAAGACCUAAAAGUCACACUCUCUAAUUACACUUCCCUCCUGUGUUCUGGGUCCUCUUGGACCAGUCCUUACUCUGGCUCCCCUCCUGGAUGUCUCCCAGACUUCUAAUUAGAAUUACUGUUUCCUAUAUCAAGCUAAUUAUCUUUCCCACCAACCUCCUCCAUCCUUGGGUGAAAGCAUCACUUGGUUGCAAAAGUCAGAAAUCUGGGUUUCAUUCUUGCGGUAGGUAGAAUAAUGCCCCCAGGCCCCAGGUUUUGACAUCCGAAUCCCUGGGACUUUGCAGAUGUGAUUCAGUUUAGGAUUUUGAGAUGGGGAGAUUAUCUGGGAGAGCCUGAUGUCAUCAUAAGGUUCUUAUAAGAGGGAGGCAGGAGGGUUAGAGUGAGUAGUAAGAGAUGCAACAGUGGAAGCAAGAGGUUGGGGUGAUGUGGCCACAAGCCCAGGAGUGCUGACAGACAUCAGAAGCUGGAAGGGACAAGGAAUGGUUUCUCCUCUGGAGCCUCCAGAAAGAACCAGCCCUGCUGACACCUUGAUUUUAGCCUUGGAAGACUCAUUUUGGACUUCUGACCUUGAACGUUGUAAGAGAAUAAAUUUACAUAUUUUAAACUGG